This 660-nucleotide ribosomal RNA is filed under the name uncultured Bacteroides sp. RNAcentral's name for it is "bacterial SSU rRNA". It matches the Rfam family "Bacterial small subunit ribosomal RNA", at positions 64 to 715 of the family's 1533-position model. Lineage: Bacteria; Pseudomonadati; Bacteroidota; Bacteroidia; Bacteroidales; Bacteroidaceae. The record is from RNAcentral.
AAGGGGGCAGCAUUGGAGUAGCAAUACUUCAGAUGGCGACCGGCGCACGGGUGAGUAACACGUAUCCAACCCGUCGCUUACUCGGGGAUAGCCUUUCGAAAGAAAGAUUAAUACCCGAUGGUAUAAAGAGUUCGCAUGUUCUCUUUAUUAAAGAAUUUCGGUAAGCGAUGGGGAUGCGUUCCAUUAGAUAGUUGGCGGGGUAACGGCCCACCAAGUCUACGAUGGAUAGGGGUUCUGAGAGGAAGGUCCCCCACAUUGGAACUGAGACACGGUCCAAACUCCUACGGGAGGCAGCAGUGAGGAAUAUUGGUCAAUGGACGCGAGUCUGAACCAGCCAAGUAGCGUGAAGGAUGACUGCCCUAUGGGUUGUAAACUUCUUUUAUAAGGGAAUAAAGUGAGGGACGUGUCCCUUUUUGUAUGUACCUUAUGAAUAAGGAUCGGCUAACUCCGUGCCAGCAGCCGCGGUAAUACGGAGGAUCCAAGCGUUAUCCGGAUUUAUUGGGUUUAAAGGGAGCGUAGGUUGACAUAUAAGUCAGCUGUGAAAGUUUACGGCUCAACCGUGAAAUUGCAGUUGAUACUGUAUGUCUUGAGUGUACAAGAGGUGGGCGGAAUUCGUGGUGUAGCGGUGAAAUGCUUAGAUAUCACGAAGAACUCCGAUUG